AUUAAACGCUGGCGGCAGGCCUAACACAUGCAAGUCGAGCGGUAGCACAGAGAGCUUGCUCUCGGGUGACGAGUGGCGGACGGGUGAGUAAUGUCUGGGAAACUGCCCGAUGGAGGGGGAUAACUACUGGAAACGGUAGCUAAUACCGCAUAACGUCGCAAGACCAAAGUGGGGGACCUUCGGGCCUCACACCAUCGGAUGUGCCCAGAUGGGAUUAGCUAGUAGGUGGGGUAAUGGCCCACCUAGGCGACGAUCCCUAGCUGGUCUGAGAGGAUGACCAGCCACACUGGAACUGAGACACGGUCCAGACUCCUACGGGAGGCAGCAGUGGGGAAUAUUGCACAAUGGGCGCAAGCCUGAUGCAGCCAUGCCGCGUGUAUGAAGAAGGCCUUCGGGUUGUAAAGUACUUUCAGCGGGGAGGAAGGCGGUGAAGUUAAUAACUUCACCGAUUGACGUUACCCGCAGAAGAAGCACCGGCUAACUCCGUGCCAGCAGCCGCCGUAA
RNAcentral lists this ribosomal RNA (504 nucleotides) under uncultured bacterium. Its description in RNAcentral is "partial 16S ribosomal RNA". It matches the Rfam family "Bacterial small subunit ribosomal RNA", at positions 30 to 523 of the family's 1533-position model. The record is from RNAcentral.